Molecule: ribosomal RNA, 163 nt
Filed under: Sebacinaceae sp.
Lineage: Eukaryota; Fungi; Basidiomycota; Agaricomycetes; Sebacinales; Sebacinaceae
Description: partial large subunit ribosomal RNA
Rfam family: Eukaryotic large subunit ribosomal RNA
Source: RNAcentral
GGCAACAGCUCAAAUUUGAAAUCUGCCCGCAAGGGCCGAGUUGUAAUCUAGAGAAGUGUUUUCCGCACCGGACCGUGCACAAGUUCCCUGGAACGGGGCGUCAUAGAGGGUGAGAAUCCCGUAUAUGGCACGGACUACCGGAGCUCUGUGAUACACUCUCAAC